RNAcentral lists this ribosomal RNA (253 nucleotides) under uncultured bacterium. RNAcentral's name for it is "partial 16S ribosomal RNA". It matches the Rfam family "Bacterial small subunit ribosomal RNA", at positions 524 to 776 of the family's 1533-position model. The record is from RNAcentral.
UACAGAGGUCUCAAGCGUUGCUCGGAAUUACUGGGCGUAAAGGGCGCGUAGGCGGACAGUUUAGUCAGAGGUGAAAGCCCAGGGCUCAACCUUGGAAUUGCCUUUGAUACUGGCUGUCUUGAGUUCGGGAGAGGUGAGUGGAAUGCCGAGUGUAGAGGUGAAAUUCGUAGAUAUUCGGCGGAACACCAGUGGCGAAGGCGACUCACUGGCCCGAUACUGACGCUGAGGCGCGAAAGCGUGGGGAGCAAACAGG